UGCACAGAUUACUCCUUUUAUUACAUCUGAGUUUAGAAAGAAGGAGUGUAAAGAUUUAAGAUAUGGAUCUGUAGGUGAUACAGCUUCGUUAGUGAUGCUCUGUCCUCCAUGGUGGUAGUGUCUCAUGAACUUGGUGUGGCUUGCCAGGGAAGGAUCCAAAAGCUGAAAUAACUUCUAUUGUCCAGAGCUGUACAGCUGCUGAAUUGCUUUUUGAGAGAGGAGGAGAGAACACCAAGGAAUUACUCGUACAGCAGCUUUGGGAAGGGCAGCUCUCAUCAGCUGCUUUCUUGUGCCAACACCGAAGCCAAAGCACCAUAUGGUGGCUCACUGAAGAGUGG
RNAcentral lists this long non-coding RNA (338 nucleotides) under Dromaius novaehollandiae (emu). RNAcentral's name for it is "lncRNA (ENSDNVG00000017156.1)". Lineage: Eukaryota; Metazoa; Chordata; Aves; Casuariiformes; Dromaiidae. The record is from RNAcentral.